UCAUUCUGAAAAAAUAUAUAUGACAUAUAUAUGUAAGUAUAUACAAAUAAAAUAUUUUUUUUUUUUAAUUUGGUUCCACUAUUCAAAAAACUACUACUCAAAAAGUCCAGUGAGGCCUGACUAUCGACAUAUAAUCUGAGUUCAACACGCAUUGAUCGCCAACUGGGAUAUUUAAAUGAACACAUGUUUAAAUAUAUAUAAGUUUACCUAAUAUGCAUUAUGCAAGAUGCUAGGUACACUAAAUAUAAAUAUAGACAUCGUAUGUUUGUAUAGAAAAAUGUAAGUACAUAUAUCUAAAUAUGAAAUAAAAUAUCUACAAAGGAAUAAUAUAUACUGUUAUGUAGUCCACACCAUAUAUAUGUUUAUGUAGAUGUAUGAUGGCAAGAUAAGUAUACAACUUUGCGAAAUUUUUCGGGGAACUUAGAAAGAUAUACUCUCAAAUUGUUAGCAUGAGGAUGUGGGUCGCAUAUUCAAAGCGGCUCAUUUCGCAGCAAAAAUGUUUAGUUAGAAAGUCUAAAUUAUUGUAUGUAAACUUUUUUGAAUAUAGAAAAAUGUUAUAAAUAAUUUUACAUGACAAGGCAAGGAAUGCACACAUAUCGCUACCAUUUAGCAUUGUUCAUUAGUUGUUGUAAAUAAACAGACCUAACAUGAAAAAAUCUCAGCUGAUAUAACAUACAAAUAUUUGUAUACAUAUAUAAUUAUUAUAGGAAAGAUUAACAAAGAUAAGUAUUGAAAUUGUUUAAGCCUAAAAUAUAAAUUUUUAAUUUUUCAAAGUCAUGUAAAUUUAAUGACAUUUUUUGAAUAUCGCAUGUAUACAAUAUGUAUGUAUGUACGAAAGAAAUUUAAAAACAAUAAAUAAUACGAUUUAAACGAACAAUAUGAUGGAACGAUUUUGUACAUUUUCGAGAGUUUGCCAUACAUUAGAUGAUAAGUUUUGUUUAGAUAUAUUUCUUAAUGCUUUAGUCAUAUAGUGAAAGUUGGGGAAAUAUAAUACACAGGACUUCCAGUAGUUUUUAAUAAAAUGGGUGAGAUUACCUGAUAUUUAUAUUUUAAAAACUUUGCCCCCUACUAUCUAUUAAAACGGAUUAUGGAAGAAUGUCAAUAAACAGAUGUACCAACUUAUAUCGA
Molecule: long non-coding RNA, 1128 nt
Organism: Bactrocera neohumeralis
Lineage: Eukaryota; Metazoa; Arthropoda; Insecta; Diptera; Tephritidae
Exons: 2
Source: RefSeq, a predicted model, not a curated record